RNAcentral lists this ribosomal RNA (500 nucleotides) under uncultured bacterium. RNAcentral describes it as "partial 16S ribosomal RNA". It matches the Rfam family "Bacterial small subunit ribosomal RNA", at positions 29 to 523 of the family's 1533-position model. The record is from RNAcentral.
AUUGAACGCUGGCGGCAUGCCUUACACAUGCAAGUCGAACGGCAGCACGGGAGCAAUCCUGGUGGCGGGUGGCGAACGGGUGAGUAAUAUAUCGGAACGUGCCCAGGCGUGGGGGAUAACGCAGCGAAAGCUGUGCUAAUACCGCAUACGAUCUACGGAUGAAAGCGGGGGAUCGCAAGACCUCGCGCGAUUGGAGCGGCCGAUAUCAGAUUGGCUAGUUGGUGAGGUAAAGGCUCACCAAGGCGACGAUCUGUGGCUGGUCUGAGAGGACGACCAGCCACAAUGGAACUGAGACAAGGUCCAGAAUGCUCCGGGAGGCAGCAGUGGGGAAUUUUGGACAAUGGGCGAAAGCCUGAUCCAGAAAUGCCGCGUGCAGGAUGAAGGCCUUCGGGUUGUGAACUGCUUUUGUACGGAAAGAAACGGUGGGCUCUAAUACAGUUUGCUAAUGACGGCACCGUAAGAAUAAGCACCGGCUAACUACGUGCCAGCCGCCGCGGUAA